CGCCCGUCGCUCCUACCGAUUGGGUGUGCUGGUGAAGUGUUCGGAUUGGCGUCAAUUGGCGGUUCGCCGCUGGCUGUCGCUGAGAAGUUCAUUAAACCCUCCCACCUAGAGGAAGGAGAAGUCGUAACAAGGUUUCC
Molecule: ribosomal RNA, 137 nt
Filed under: uncultured Trebouxiophyceae
Lineage: Eukaryota; Viridiplantae; Chlorophyta; Trebouxiophyceae
Description: partial small subunit ribosomal RNA
Rfam family: Eukaryotic small subunit ribosomal RNA
Source: RNAcentral